RNAcentral lists this ribosomal RNA (270 nucleotides) under uncultured archaeon. RNAcentral describes it as "partial 16S ribosomal RNA". It matches the Rfam family "Archaeal small subunit ribosomal RNA", at positions 477 to 747 of the family's 1478-position model. The record is from RNAcentral.
CAGCAGCCCGAGUGGUGGUCGUUUUUAUUGGGCCUAAAGCGUCCGUAGCCGGUCUAGUAAAUCCUUGGAUAAAUCGUACAGCUUAACUGUACGGCUCCCGGGGAGACUGCUAGACUUGGGACUGGGAGAGGUCGGAGGUACUCCAGGGGUAGGGGUGAAAUCUUGUAAUCCUUGGGGGACCACCAGUGGCGAAGGCGUCCGACUAGAACGGGUCCGACGGUAAGGGACGAAGCCCUGGGGCGCGAACCGGAUUAGAUACCCGCGUAGUCC